Molecule: long non-coding RNA, 205 nt
Filed under: Elaeis guineensis (African oil palm)
Lineage: Eukaryota; Viridiplantae; Streptophyta; Magnoliopsida; Arecales; Arecaceae
Description: long non-coding RNA (EGUI_LNC031696)
Source: RNAcentral
CUUGCACUAGUGAGAAAUAUAAUAAACUAAUAUUUAUGAAAUAUUUAGAGUCAAAAGUAAAUAGAUUAUUAAAUGCAUAAACAAUAUUGCAACGAGUAACGAGUUUCCUGAGGUUCCUUUUUUUUUCCCCCAAAAAGGUACAUGAAAUAAGUGAAAGUCUUCUUUGUUAUAUUUAGCAUUCAUAAAAGUAAAAACGAGUCGAUGG